UCGGGUUAAGCAAACGCCGUGCAGAACACUUCAUGCGCCUGGCUACUCGCUAAGACCGGCAUUAUCAGACGCUGCCACCUCCCACAUCAUCCACUUCCUAAGAGCGAAGGGGAGAUCAAUCGGCUUCUAAUGCGUGUUCUUUUAGGUUCAUGGUACAGAAGAAGGGUCAAGCUACCGCCGGGGUUAUAAAACUACAUCUGGAAAUGCUCAGAACUCCUACGAAAGCCUUGUCAAAUAACUGUACUUUAGCGGCGAAAUGUUUAAAAAUAUGGUCCCUGUUCAGACGCUGCCACCUCCCACAUCAUCCACUUCCUAAGACCGAAGGGGAGAUGAAUCGGGUUCUAAUGCGUGUUCUUUUAGGUUCAUGGUACAGCAGAAGGGUCAAACUACCACCGGGGCUCAAAAAACUACCCCUGGAAAUGCUCAAAGCUCCCUCGAAAGCCUUGACAAAUAGGUGUUCUUAGGAGCCAUUUCUACUUCGUUUUCACCUCUCGCCUCAACGCUUAACUAUGCCGAAUGAAAAGGAGAUCAGUCGAGUUCUAAUGAGUGUUUCUUUAGGUUCAUGGUACAGAAGAAGGGUCAAGCUACCACCUGGGCUCAAAAAACUACCCCUGGAAAUGCUCAAAGCUCCCACGAAAGCCUUGACAAAUAGGUGUUCUUAGGAGCCAUUUCUACUUCGUUUUCACCUCUCACAUCAACGCUUAACUAUGCCGAAUUGAAAAGGAGGUUAGUCGAGUUCUAAUGAGUGUUUCUUUAAGUUCAUGGUACAGCAGAAGGGUCAAACUACCACUGGGGCUCAAAAAACUACCCCUGGAAAUGCUCAAAGCUCCCACGAAAGCCUUGACAAAUAGGUGUUCUGAGGCGCCAG
This is a long non-coding RNA of Eriocheir sinensis (Chinese mitten crab), 868 nucleotides long. RefSeq lists it as uncharacterized. The transcript has 3 exons. The record is from RefSeq and is a predicted model, not a curated record. Lineage: Eukaryota; Metazoa; Arthropoda; Malacostraca; Decapoda; Varunidae.